Molecule: ribosomal RNA, 154 nt
Organism: Erpetoichthys calabaricus (reedfish)
Lineage: Eukaryota; Metazoa; Chordata; Cladistia; Polypteriformes; Polypteridae
Rfam family: 5.8S ribosomal RNA
About the family: 5.8S ribosomal RNA (5.8S rRNA) is a component of the large subunit of the eukaryotic ribosome. It is transcribed by RNA polymerase I as part of the 45S precursor that also contains 18S and 28S rRNA.
Source: Ensembl
UACUCUUGGUGGUGGAUCUCUUGGCUCGUGCAUCGAUGAAGAACACAGCCAACUACGAGAACUAAUGUGAAUUGCAGGACACAUUGAUCAUUGACACUUCACAUGCACCUUGUGGCCAUGGGUCUUUCCCGGGGCUAUGCCUGUCUAAGGGUCG